Molecule: long non-coding RNA, 693 nt
Organism: Prionailurus viverrinus (fishing cat)
Lineage: Eukaryota; Metazoa; Chordata; Mammalia; Carnivora; Felidae
Exons: 2
Source: RefSeq, a predicted model, not a curated record
CUGACGUCGGACGCUGAACCGACUGCGCCACCCAGGCGCCCCCUGGAUCCUCUUUUGAAUCUGUACAAUGGGAGAGAGUCAAUUACCAAUGAGAGGCAAGAAUUGGAAAGGAAAAUCAAUCCUACAAUCAAGCAACCUCAGCUUUCAAAGGCUAUGCCCCAGGGCUAUUCUCCUAAAGGCCAGUGGCUUCAGUGAGAAGUUCCUGGAACAGCUAGCUAGCCCUCUGAUGUUUAUACAUUGUCUCAUUUAAUAUUCUCAGCGACCCCUGAGGUGGGUACUAUUCCCCAUAUUGACAACCGGAGAAACCAGAAUCAGACAUGGAACUCUUGCCCAGCUGAUUAAUGCAUUUGGAGCCCAGUCUCACAUCAGUAUCUGCUGGCUGACGAUCCGUCAACACUGUCCGACCCUCCGAACCUCUGUGUGCACGAAAGCAGUACAACUUCCUCUGCCCACUCUAAACACUGCUGAAAACAAGCACUACUCUUUGUUUGCUUGAUGAGGCAACAAACCCAGAAAGGCACCCUCAGACCCAUAUACCCGAUUAGACCUAAAAGCCCUUCAGAAAAACUGGACGUAGUGUCAGCUGGUUCCAGCAGAGAAUUCACGGCACUUCCAUACUCUCUGAGAUUCCAACACCUGCCUUUCUAAACGGCUUUAUUUUUCUCUAUAGCAAGAAUAACUGCCUGACUUUUA